Molecule: long non-coding RNA, 726 nt
Organism: Lotus japonicus
Lineage: Eukaryota; Viridiplantae; Streptophyta; Magnoliopsida; Fabales; Fabaceae
Exons: 3
Source: RefSeq, a predicted model, not a curated record
UUAAACCCCUCAUCAUCGCGUUUCACUCUCCUCUACCUCACUUCGCGUCUCAGCCUCUCUCUCAGAUCGCGAUUCCUUGACUCCAUGGCUUGAACCUCUCUCAGCGAUGGCGAACUCCAUGGCUUGAACCUCUCUCAGCGAUGGCGAACUCCAUGGCUUGAAGGAAUUAGGGCUCGAAUUUAUCUUGUUUUGGUAAAAUCGAGUGGUUUCCUGGGUUUGGUUUCUUCGAUUUCUUCCACUGUGCACGCUCUGCUUCAGAUCCAAACAAGCUUCAUUGUUUUUAGUUUGCGUUUGGCUUGGCCGUGCUGCUGGUGUCUCAUAUUAUGCUCAAUAUUAUGGUUCUAUCUCCAGAAAAGCUAUUAUUAUAGGCCACGUAUUGAUGUCAUAUACAAAGUGUUGGUGUAUACCUAUUCAUGUAAAGCCAAGGGACCUAUAUGACAUGGGUGGGGAAGAUGAGGAGAUCAUGGCGUCUAAUGAGACCUAUCCAUCACAAGAUUUGGAGCAAUUAUUUCCUGAUGAUGAUACUGAGAAUAUACAAUUGGCUAGAGAUGUUAUGGAUGAUGAUCCUUCAACUUGAUGCCUAUGAACAUGAUCUGACUUGUAUUUAAUUUCAGUUGUUAAUGUAAUUCAGUUCCAUUUGAUGUCUAUGAACAUGAUCUGACUUGUUUUAUGUGAAUGUUGACUCUUGCUUGAGUUUUAAUGUAAUUCAUACUCUUGCUUGUUUCA